AGAGUUUGAUCCUGGCUCAGAUUGAACGCUGGCGGAAUGCUUUACACAUGCAAGUCGAGCGGCAGCGCGGGGCAACCUGGCGGCGAGCGGCGAACGGGUGAGUAAUACAUCGGAACGUGCCCAGACGUGGGGGAUAACUACUCGAAAGAGUGGCUAAUACCGCAUACGAUCUAAGGAUGAAAGCGGGGGAUCGCAAGACCUCGCGCGUUUGGAGCGGCCGAUGGCAGAUUAGGUAGUUGGUGGGGUAAAGGCUUACCAAGCCCGCGAUCUGUAGCUGGUCUGAGAGGAUGAUCAGCCACACUGGGACUGAGACACGGCCCAGACUCCUACGGGAGGCAGCAGUGGGGAAUUUUGGACAAUGGGCGAAAGCCUGAUCCAGCCAUUCCGCGUGCAGGAUGAAGGCCCUCGGGUUGUAAACUGCUUUUGUACAGAACGAAAAAGCUCUUUCUAAUACAGAGAGUCCAUGACGGUACUGUAAGAAUAAGCACCGGCUAACUACGUG
Molecule: ribosomal RNA, 502 nt
Filed under: uncultured bacterium
Lineage: Bacteria
Description: bacterial SSU rRNA
Rfam family: Bacterial small subunit ribosomal RNA
Source: RNAcentral